AGUGAACGCUGGCGGUAUGCCUAACACAUGCAAGUCGAACGGCAGCACAGUAAGAGCUUGCUCUUACGGGUGGCGAGUGGCGGACGGGUGCGGAAUACAUCGGAAUCUACUUUUUCGUGGGGGAUAACGUAUGGAAACUUACGCUAAUACCGCAUACGACCUACGGGUGACAGCAGGGGAUCUUCGGACCUUGCGCGAUUGAAUGAGCCGAUGUCGGAUUAGCUAGUUGGCGGGGUAAAGGCCCACCAAGGCGACGAUCCGUAGCUGGUCUGAGAGGAUGAUCAGCCACACUGGAACUGAGACACGGUCCAGACUCCUACGGGAGGCAGCAGUGGGGAAUAUUGGACAAUGGGCGCAAGCCUGAUCCAGCCAUACCGCGUGGGUGAAGAAGGCCUUCGGGUUGUAAAGCCCUUUUGUUGGGAAAGAAAAGCAGCAGGUUAAUACCCCGCUGUUCUGACGGUACCCAAAGAAUAAGCACCGGCUAACUUCGUG
RNAcentral lists this ribosomal RNA (492 nucleotides) under uncultured bacterium. RNAcentral describes it as "partial 16S ribosomal RNA". It matches the Rfam family "Bacterial small subunit ribosomal RNA", at positions 29 to 507 of the family's 1533-position model. The record is from RNAcentral.